UCGUAAUCAGUUAAAACUUUCAACAACGGACUUCUUGGUUCCGGCAUCGAUGAAGAACGCAGCGAAAUGCGAUAAGUAAUGUGAAUUGCAGAAUUCAGUGAAUCAUCGAGUCUUUGAACGCACAUUGCGCCCCCUGGUAUUCCGGGGGGCAUGCCUGU
RNAcentral lists this ribosomal RNA (158 nucleotides) under Aspergillus fumigatus. RNAcentral describes it as "5.8S ribosomal RNA". It matches the Rfam family "5.8S ribosomal RNA". Rfam says of the family: 5.8S ribosomal RNA (5.8S rRNA) is a component of the large subunit of the eukaryotic ribosome. It is transcribed by RNA polymerase I as part of the 45S precursor that also contains 18S and 28S rRNA. The record is from RNAcentral. Lineage: Eukaryota; Fungi; Ascomycota; Eurotiomycetes; Eurotiales; Aspergillaceae.